Molecule: ribosomal RNA, 467 nt
Filed under: uncultured bacterium
Lineage: Bacteria
Description: partial 16S ribosomal RNA
Rfam family: Bacterial small subunit ribosomal RNA
Source: RNAcentral
GAUGAACGCUGGCGGCGCGCCUAACACAUGCAAGUCGAACGAUUAAAGCACCUUCGGGUGUGUAUAAAGUGGCGAACGGCUGAGUAACACGUGGGCAACCUGCCCCUUUCAUUGGGAUAGCCACGGGGAACCGUGGAUAAUACCGAAUACUUCGAGACUUCCGCAUGGAAGACUCGAGAAAGCUCCGGCGGAGAGGGAUGGGCCCGCGGCCUGUUAGCUUGUUGGUGGGGUAACGGCCUACCAAGGCAAUGAUGGGUAGCUGGGUUGAGAGACCGACCAGCCAGAUUGGGACUGAGACACGGCCCAGACUCCUACGGGAGGCAGCAGUGGGGAAUCUUGCACAAUGGGCGAAAGCCUGAUGCAGCGACGCCGCGUGCGGGGUGAAGGCCUUCGGGUUGUAAACCGCUUUCAGCAGGGACGAGGCGAAAGUGACGGUACCUGCAGAAGAAGCCCCGGCUAACUACGUG